CACGGGGGGAGCAAGCGUUGUUCGGAAUCACUGGGCGUAAAGGGCGUGUAGGCGGUCAGGUUAGUGAGAUGUGAAACGCCCCGGCUCACCCGGGGACCUGCAUCUCAAACUGCCUGGCUUGAGUAUGGGAGAGGAUGAGGGAAUUCCUGGUGUAGCGGUGAAAUGCGUAGAUAUCAGGAGGAACACCUGCGGCGAAGGCGGGUUGCUGGGCUGACACUGACGCUGAUGCGCGAAAGCCAGGGGAGCGAACGGG
RNAcentral lists this ribosomal RNA (253 nucleotides) under uncultured bacterium. RNAcentral's name for it is "partial 16S ribosomal RNA". It matches the Rfam family "Bacterial small subunit ribosomal RNA", at positions 524 to 776 of the family's 1533-position model. The record is from RNAcentral.